This 73-nucleotide transfer RNA is filed under the name Candidatus Tayloriibacteriota bacterium. RNAcentral describes it as "tRNA-Thr". It matches the Rfam family "tRNA". Rfam says of the family: Transfer RNA (tRNA) molecules are approximately 80 nucleotides in length. Their secondary structure includes four short double-helical elements and three loops (D, anti-codon, and T loops). Further hydrogen bonds mediate the characteristic L-shaped molecular structure. tRNAs have two regions of fundamental functional importance: the anti-codon, which is responsible for specific mRNA codon recognition, and the 3' end, to which the tRNAs corresponding amino acid is attached (by aminoacyl-tRNA synthetases). tRNAs cope with the degeneracy of the genetic code in two manners: having more than one tRNA (with a specific anti-codon) for a particular amino acid; and 'wobble' base-pairing, i.e. permitting non-standard base-pairing at the 3rd anti-codon position. Lineage: Bacteria; Candidatus Tayloriibacteriota. The record is from RNAcentral.
GCCGAUGUAGCUCAGUUGGUAGAGCAUACGCAUGGUAAGCGUAAGGUCGGCGGUUCGAUCCCGCCCGUCGGCU